This 499-nucleotide ribosomal RNA is filed under the name Oreina virgulata. RNAcentral describes it as "partial 12S small subunit ribosomal RNA". The record is from RNAcentral. Lineage: Eukaryota; Metazoa; Arthropoda; Insecta; Coleoptera; Chrysomelidae.
AAAUAAUAUAAUUUAAUUUAAUUAGUAUAAAUUAAUUUACAAUAAUUAAUUUUAAUUUAAAAUUUAUUAGGUGAAAUUUAUAAAUUUUAAAAAAAUUUUUUUUAAUGAAGUUAAGAAAUUUAAUUAAUAAACUAGGAUUAGAUACCCUAUUAUUUUAAAUGUACUUUUAUAUAUUAAAUUAGUAUUAGUUAUGUUCUUGAAAAUUAAAGAUUUUGGCGGUAUUUUAGUCUAUUCAGAGGAACCUGUUCUAUAAUUGAUAAUCCACGAUUUAAUUUACUUUUUUUUUUAGUUUGUAUAUCGUCGUAAUUUGAAUAUUUUAUAAGAAUGAUAAUAUUCAAGAUUUUUAAACAUAAAAAUAAAUCAGAUCAAGGUGCAGUUUAUAAAAAAGAAGAAAUGGGUUACAAUAAAAUUAUUUAAGGAGUAUUAUUUAUAAAAUAAUAUGAAUUUGGAUUUGAGGGUAAAUUUAAUUAAUUAAUUAAAUUGAUUUUAGCUCUAAAAU